AACCAUAGAAACCUGCGGAGUACCUGCGGAAGGAUCAUUACCGAAUUUUAUAAUACAAUAAUGAAUAUGUUGAACCACCGGGUAGAGAAAUGGAAUGUAAUUUUUUACAUUCAUUUAUAUUUCUCUCUCAUUCAUUAAAAAACAUGUUUUACAAUCAUGGACAAAUAAAUUAUAUAUAAUCCAAAACAAAAAACUUUCAACAAUGGAUCU
This 210-nucleotide unclassified non-coding RNA is filed under the name soil metagenome. Its description in RNAcentral is "partial contains 5.8S ribosomal RNA, internal transcribed spacer 2, and large subunit ribosomal RNA". The record is from RNAcentral.